Molecule: ribosomal RNA, 253 nt
Filed under: uncultured bacterium
Lineage: Bacteria
Description: partial 16S ribosomal RNA
Rfam family: Bacterial small subunit ribosomal RNA
Source: RNAcentral
UACGUAGGGUGCGAGCGUUGUCCGGAAUUAUUGGGCGUAAAGAGCUCGUAGGCGGCUUGUCGCGUCGGAUGUGAAAGCCCGGGGCUUAACUCCGGGUCUGCAUUCGAUACGGGCAGGCUAGAGUUCGGUAGGGGAGAUCGGAAUUCCUGGUGUAGCGGUGAAAUGCGCAGAUAUCAGGAGGAACACCGGUGGCGAAGGCGGAUCUCUGGGCCGAUACUGACGCUGAGGAGCGAAAGCUAGGGGAGCGAACGGG